This 429-nucleotide ribosomal RNA is filed under the name Fusobacteriota bacterium. Its description in RNAcentral is "Fusobacteria bacterium partial 16S ribosomal RNA". It matches the Rfam family "Bacterial small subunit ribosomal RNA", at positions 355 to 776 of the family's 1533-position model. The record is from RNAcentral. Lineage: Bacteria; Fusobacteriati; Fusobacteriota.
UGGGGAAUCUUCCGCAAUGGACGAAAGUCUGACGGAGCAACGCCGCGUGAGUGAAGACGGCCUUCGGGUUGUAAAGCUCUGUGAUCCGGGACGAAAGAGCCUGAGGUAAAUAGCCUAAGGAAGUGACGGUACCGGAAAAGCAAGCCACGGCUAACUACGUGCCAGCAGCCGCGGUAAUACGUAGGUGGCAAGCGUUGUCCGGAAUUAUUGGGCGUAAAGCGCGCGCAGGCGGCUUACUAAGUCCAUCUUAAAAGUGCGGGGCUUAACCCCGGGAUGGGAUGGAAACUGGAAAGCUGGAGUAUCGGAGAGGAAAGUGGAAUUCCUAGUGUAGCGGUGAAAUGCGUAGAGAUUAGGAAGAAAAACGGUGGCGAAGGCGACUUUCUGGACGAAAACUGACGCUGAGGCGCGAAAGCGUGGGGAGCAAACAGG